Molecule: long non-coding RNA, 492 nt
Organism: Lineus longissimus
Lineage: Eukaryota; Metazoa; Nemertea; Pilidiophora; Heteronemertea; Lineidae
Exons: 3
Source: RefSeq, a predicted model, not a curated record
UGUGAUGGGGAUGAAGAUUGCAGCCAAGACGGGUCUUGCCCAAAUGGAUGUGCCAGUGGAUGGGAUGGGGAGUAUUGUCAGCGUGGUAAUGUUGCUGCAGGAAAGUCUUCAGACGCAUCACAGGGAACAACCUAUGGCACGCAUUACGCCUCUUUGGCUCUGGAUGGUUAUACGAAUCAGGCGUUUUCAAGAUGCAGUCAUACCAACCAACGCGAACAUUGGUGGCAGGUGGAUUUAGGGAGGGACUAUGUUCUAUUUACAGUGACAAUAUGGACAAUGGCUGAAAGUGAGUGCAAGAAAAAUACGAUAGGUACAGAAUACAAGGGAACACAGAAUACAACGUUGAUGGGUUUCACCUGUGCGGAUUGGCUUGUAUUCGAGAAAGCCAGAUAUAGGCCGGCUGACUCCUACAAUUACUGUCGGAACCCAGACGGUGACGCUCGUGGACCUUGGUGCUAUAUUACAGCCACAGACCCACCUCCCUAUGAUAAC